AAAGACGACAGAUGUGGUAAAUAAUGAAUGGAUAUGCAGCAUUUUAGAUCUCAAGCCAACUUUCUUUCAUUAAGAAAAAGGAAAAAUAAAUCCAUUCUUUCCUCUUCAAGGAGAUUUCUUGCUGUCUGAGGUGUCAAUAAAAUUACUUGAUUUGAUUUUCAGAGAUCCCUUAAUUAGCCAAUCCUUUCUGGCUAGCUUUGGCGUUGACAUCCAGGUUUCCAGAUAAAUAAAUGCCACUCUUCCAGAAGUGAGCAAUGACAGAUCUUGAAGGAAUGCUGCUUAUCCUACAGCCUCCAAAUUUAACUGUCCCAAUAAGUCACACAGAUAAAGCAGUAGUUUUCAUCACCUUCUACUAGACAAAAUUGAAGUAUUUGCCCUGAAAUAUCUGCAUUCUAAUAUUUUACAGGAUUCCACCUCGCCAUCUUACAACCGUCAGAAUGAACGGGAGUCGUAUUCUUCUGGAGCUAGUCAAUAUGGUGGACAAGGUUCACCUUACUCGGGAGGCAGCCAGUAUGGAGGACAGGUGAGAAAAAAUACAAAAACUGUG
RNAcentral lists this long non-coding RNA (547 nucleotides) under Phasianus colchicus (ring-necked pheasant). RNAcentral describes it as "lncRNA (ENSPCLG00000022340.1)". The record is from RNAcentral. Lineage: Eukaryota; Metazoa; Chordata; Aves; Galliformes; Phasianidae.